Molecule: transfer RNA, 76 nt
Filed under: miscellaneous Crenarchaeota group archaeon SMTZ1-55
Lineage: Archaea; Thermoproteati; Candidatus Bathyarchaeota
Also listed under: 1 other name
Description: tRNA-Ala
Rfam family: tRNA
About the family: Transfer RNA (tRNA) molecules are approximately 80 nucleotides in length.
Source: RNAcentral
GGGCCGAUAGUUCAGUGGAAUGAAUCCUCGGCUUGCAUCCGAGGGGUCGCGGGUUCAAAUCCCGCUCGGUCCACCA